RNAcentral lists this long non-coding RNA (341 nucleotides) under Elaeis guineensis (African oil palm). Its description in RNAcentral is "long non-coding RNA (EGUI_LNC065740)". The record is from RNAcentral. Lineage: Eukaryota; Viridiplantae; Streptophyta; Magnoliopsida; Arecales; Arecaceae.
GGGCUGAAGUAAAGUCAUCUUGCUUGUUAGUGAUGUAAACCAACUUUAUCAGUUGAGUGGCCUACUGAUAAAGUAAUCUUGAAGCAUCUUUUGCUGGUGAUGUGAUAACUUUGUUGGUAGUGAGAUGACUUGAAACAAUUUUGCUGGGGAAGCAUCUGGCUAGUCUUCUUUUUGAUGGUUUGUCAUCUUGUCGGUAGAAUACUUUGUCGGUGGAGCAUCUAGUCGGUGAAGAAACAAGCUUUUGCUGAAGAAGUACCUUUUGCUGGAGGAGGUCAUCUUUGAGGAAGCAUUUUCCUAGAUGAGCUGGUAACUUCUGAUGGUGAAAUAUUUUGAAUGGAACA